AGAGUUUGAUCCUGGCUCAGAACGAACGCUGGCGGCAGGCUUAACACAUGCAAGUCGAGCGAGACCUUCGGGUCUAGCGGCGGACGGGUGAGUAACGCGUGGGAACGUGCCCUUCUCUACGGAAUAGCCCCGGGAAACUGGGAGUAAUACCGUAUACGCCCUUUGGGGGAAAGAUUUAUCGGAGAAGGAUCGGCCCGCGUUGGAUUAGGUAGUUGGUGGGGUAAUGGCCCACCAAGCCGACGAUCCAUAGCUGGUUUGAGAGGAUGAUCAGCCACACUGGGACUGAGACACGGCCCAGACUCCUACGGGAGGCAGCAGUGGGGAAUCUUAGACAAUGGGGGCAACCCUGAUCUAGCCAUGCCGCGUGAGUGAUGAAGGCCUUAGGGUUGUAAAGCUCUUUCAGCUGGGAAGAUAAUGACGGUACCAGCAGAAGAAGCCCCGGCUAACUCCGUGCCAGCCGCCGCGGUAAUAC
RNAcentral lists this ribosomal RNA (472 nucleotides) under uncultured bacterium. Its description in RNAcentral is "bacterial SSU rRNA". It matches the Rfam family "Bacterial small subunit ribosomal RNA", at positions 8 to 526 of the family's 1533-position model. The record is from RNAcentral.